GAGUUUGAUCCUGGCUCAGGAUGAACGCUGGCGGCGUGCCUAACACAUGCAAGUCGAACGAAGCACCUUACUUGAUUCUUCGGAUGAAGGUCUGGUGACUGAGUGGCGGACGGGUGAGUAACGCGUGGGUAACCUGCCCUGUACAGGGGGAUAACAGUUGGAAACGGCUGCUAAUACCGCAUAAGCGCACGAGAGGACAUCCUCUUGUGUGAAAAACUCCGGUGGUACAGGAUGGGCCCGCGUCUGAUUAGCUGGUUGGCAGGGUAACGGCCUACCAAGGCGACGAUCAGUAGCCGGUCUGAGAGGAUGAACGGCCACAUUGGAACUGAGACACGGUCCAAACUCCUACGGGAGGCAGCAGUGGGGAAUAUUGCACAAUGGGGGAAACCCUGAUGCAGCAACGCCGCGUGAGUGAAGAAGUAUUUCGGUAUGUAAAGCUCUAUCAGCAGGGAAGAUAAUGACGGUACCUGACUAAGAAGCUCCGGCUAAAUACGUGCCAGCAGCCGCGGUAAUUC
Molecule: ribosomal RNA, 515 nt
Filed under: uncultured bacterium
Lineage: Bacteria
Description: bacterial SSU rRNA
Rfam family: Bacterial small subunit ribosomal RNA
Source: RNAcentral